This 501-nucleotide ribosomal RNA is filed under the name uncultured bacterium. RNAcentral describes it as "partial 16S ribosomal RNA". It matches the Rfam family "Bacterial small subunit ribosomal RNA", at positions 28 to 523 of the family's 1533-position model. The record is from RNAcentral.
GAUGAACGCUAGCGACAGGCUUAACACAUGCAAGUCGAGGGGCAGCGGGGGUAGCAAUACCCGCCGGCGACCGGCGCACGGGUGAGUAACGCGUAUGCAACUUACCUAUCAGAGGGGGAUAACCCGGCGAAAGUCGGACUAAUACCGCAUGAAGCAGGGGCCCCGCAUGGGGAUAUUUGCUAAAGAUUCAUCGCUGAUAGAUAGGCAUGCGUUCCAUUAGGCAGUUGGCGGGGUAACGGCCCACCAAACCGACGAUGGAUAGGGGUUCUGAGAGGAAGGUCCCCCACAUUGGUACUGAGACACGGACCAAACUCCUACGGGAGGCAGCAGUGAGGAAUAUUGGUCAAUGGGCGCGAGCCUGAACCAGCCAAGUCGCGUGAGGGAUGAGGGUUCUAUGGAUCGUAAACCUCUUUUAUAAGGGAAUAAAGUGCGGGACGUGUCCUGUUUUGUAUGUACCUUAUGAAUAAGGAUCGGCUAACUCCGUGCCAGCAGCCGCGGUAA